RNAcentral lists this ribosomal RNA (547 nucleotides) under uncultured bacterium. RNAcentral's name for it is "bacterial SSU rRNA". It matches the Rfam family "Bacterial small subunit ribosomal RNA", at positions 355 to 896 of the family's 1533-position model. The record is from RNAcentral.
UGGGGAAUAUUGCGCAAUGGGGGGAACCCUGACGCAGCCAUGCCGCGUGAAUGAAGAAGGCCUUAGGGUUGUAAAGUUCUUUCGGUAUUGAGGAAGGUUGAUGUGAUAAUAGCACAUCAAAUUGACGUUAAAUACAGAAGAAGCACCGGCUAACUCCGUGCCAGCAGCCGCGGUAAUACGGAGGGUGCGAGCGUUAAUCGGAAUAACUGGGCGUAAAGGGCACGCAGGCGGUUAUUUAAGUGAGGUGUGAAAGCCCUGGGCUUAACCUGGGAAUUGCAUUUCAGACUGGGUAACUAGAGUACUUUAGGGAGGGGUAGAAUUCCACGUGUAGCGGUGAAAUGCGUAGAGAUGUGGAGGAAUACCGAAGGCGAAGGCAGCCCCUUGGGAAUGUACUGACGCUCAUGUGCGAAAGCGUGGGGAGCAAACAGGAUUAGAUACCCUGGUAGUCCACGCUGUAAACGCUGUCGAUUUGGGGGUUGGGGUUUAACUCUGGCGCCCGUAGCUAACGUGAUAAAUCGACCGCCUGGNGAGUACGGCCGCAAGGUUA